CCAAAUCCUCCCAUACUUGCUUCACAAAAACUUGUUCUAGUCACUUGGGAAGGAGAUUGACAACAAAAAGAAAAAGAAAGGAAGGAGUUUUGAAGAAAAGGAAAUUCUGCAUAAAAAGGUUAGUAAUCAAAUUUGAUAAUUUGAGUUUGAUUCUUACAUUUCUAACUUAUUGAGCUUGUAAAUAAACUUAAAAUGAAAUGAAACAAAUUGUUGAGGGACUAAGCUGAAAUUCGGCCAGCAUGAAGGGAAGGGUGAUUUGCAUGAAUGGAAUGGUUUGAAUGGGUAUAGGAACUUUAAUUAGUUGAAUGGUUAGGAUUAAAGGCUUUGAAAGUAGCUAAAUGCAUGAGUUUGUGAAUUAGGGUUUUGAACAUUA
RNAcentral lists this unclassified non-coding RNA (373 nucleotides) under Hevea brasiliensis (rubber tree). Lineage: Eukaryota; Viridiplantae; Streptophyta; Magnoliopsida; Malpighiales; Euphorbiaceae. The record is from RNAcentral.